UGAAUGCGUUCCUUAUGUCUAAGGACACC
This 29-nucleotide small RNA is filed under the name Bombyx mori (domestic silkworm). RNAcentral describes it as "ovarian small RNA-8007". Lineage: Eukaryota; Metazoa; Arthropoda; Insecta; Lepidoptera; Bombycidae. The record is from RNAcentral.